This 72-nucleotide transfer RNA is filed under the name seawater metagenome. RNAcentral's name for it is "tRNA-Arg". It matches the Rfam family "tRNA". Rfam says of the family: Transfer RNA (tRNA) molecules are approximately 80 nucleotides in length. Their secondary structure includes four short double-helical elements and three loops (D, anti-codon, and T loops). The record is from RNAcentral.
GCCCUAUUAGUGUAAUGGAUAACACGCAUUCCUCCUAAGUUUGAAAUCUAGGUUCGAUUCCUAGGUAGGGUA